Long non-coding RNA from Platichthys flesus (European flounder), 677 nucleotides. RefSeq lists it as uncharacterized. The transcript has 3 exons. The record is from RefSeq and is a predicted model, not a curated record. Lineage: Eukaryota; Metazoa; Chordata; Actinopteri; Pleuronectiformes; Pleuronectidae.
GAAUGAUCUUUUCCAUUGACAGCUUUGUUCAUCCCCGCAGGCAGAUCUGCACCUGUAACCAAAGCCCGGUGGAUACCGGCCUAAUUACCGAUCUCAUCUGGCACCCAGCUGCCUUCUCCUUGUCCUUGCACGAACCCCACGCGGCAGAGCGCAGAAGAGGAGCCAUUAUCACGUUUCUGCUGUCACCUGUAACCGCUACUGGUUUGUUAACGCGGAGACACGCAAGGUCAGGACGCAGCCUAGAAACAGGCGGCUGUGUGGGCCGAGCGGAAUGAGCUGCUCCCUGCUCGCCAAAAAAAAAAAAUCUUCACACAAUGGAGGCCGGCGGUAUUAUGGAGCCAGAGGAGGGGAUGACGCACGCCACAUUGAAACCCGACGAAGGACGAGCGUAUGGCGCCGGCAUCCAAUGCUUUUCAUUAAUUCUGUUCAUAGCUCAGCGCUGUGUGCACUUGCAUCAAGGCUCCGGCGCUGCGGCGUUUUUAUACAUUUUUCCAUUAAAAGGCUGUUGGCAAUCAGAUUUGCAGAAUUUGCCCCGCGCGGUCAUUUCACAUUGCCAAGCGGCGGCGCAAAUACAGAAAGGUGGAGAUCGAGGUUGAACCGAACCACCUCUCCCCGAAGUGGGACAUGUUCUCUCUCUUCGGAGGGAUCUGCCGAUUGACGCGGUGCUGACAGCUCCA